UCGCCUUUUGCCUUGAUUUGUUGGAAUCUCAGUAACAUAUAGUUUAUUGGAUCAUGUAUUUCUUUGCAUUUAGGAUAAACAUUGGAAGUUAAAAAUGGUGAUGAUGUUAUCAUAGUAGUUUAAAAGAAUUAAUGAUUCAGGUAGCUGAUAAGAAUCCAUAAUCGAAACAAAUAGUCUUAAGAGUUUCAAGAGAUCCUUACUUCACCUUUGUCAUAGUUUCCAGGUUUUGGUUAGGUGUGAAAAGUUUGAAUCUUCUUUUUAUCAAGUAGUUGAGUGUGUUUUAUUUUGUGUUAUCUUGUUGAUUGAUUCCAGGCAGAGGAAGAGUAAGAGAACGAGGAAUCUUGAGGAUGAACCCAAACAUUGAUGAUGGGUAUUUACUACAAGAGUUGUUGUUAUAUACUGGUUUUUGAGAUAAUAUGCAAUUGUUAACCUUUUGCUUUUCAGUGGUUUUGUACACAUUGGCUGAUGCCAAAAGAUGUUUAACGACCAACUCAUUCCGACUUAUUUUUGGGAAAGAAAAAAAAAAUCAUACGUUUUUUUAGAAAUUCCAAUCAAUAAUACUUCCUGAUUGGUUUGCUCGACUCUACCAGGCUCCUUGUCCACAUAAUAAGAGUUAUUGAUAUGUUAAUAGCUUAAUAGCCAUCUUUAGCUCUAACAAUUUGAUCCAUGUUUUAGCUAACUAACAAGUUGUGUAUACUCUCACUCGUAAAGUCCAUCUCGUCUUCGGUGUUCAUCGUGGGCAACACUUUGUUUUCACUCAUAUUCAGUAUGUGUGGUCAUAAUUCACAAGUGUAGCAUAUACUUAAGGAACAAUGUACUUCUUCAGAGUUCCCUAUAAUCUAUAACCCAAUCAUCGUCCACAGAUACAAUCAUCUCCACCUGUUCACACAUCUUGAUGACGGUCAAUUAGAAGAGUUUUAACGGCUCAGAUUGGGUCUCUCCAGUUCUAACUUAACUGCCAUGCAAACGUCCCUCGUGGUGCCGUUGUCCAUUUAGUUUGAUGGUUCCUUCUGAGGAAACAUCGAGAGGUCGGGAUAAUACUACACGUUCUUAUCUUUUCUUUUUUGGAAUGAAUGUAAAAUUUAUUCAGUCAAAUACUUUCAAGUGCUUCUAAUUCUAAUAUUGUUUGAAACUCAUAAGAAAUCAGAAAACACCCAUUUCGAGCAUCAAACAUGACUCAUGUUCUUACUCCAAACCAUGUACAUAACCCAACUUCCAAUUUAUCAUCUCCCAUUUGUUGGAUAGAGAGAAGUCUAUUACUGACGUUUAUGUCUACCACUCGAAUCAUAUGUUCCGUUGCAAGGGAGAAAAAGCUCUGUAUUCGCAAAGACUUAUUUUUAGGACCUACCAACCAAUAGGAUUUUAUUAUUUCAAAUUCGAUAUCUUUCAAAAACAAAAACAAAAUAUUGUCAAAUUAUAUUAUGUUUUUAACAUUAAAAGGUAAGAAAAAAAAAUAAUAAUAGUAAUUAAAAAAUAUAUAUUUUUAACGUCGCCAGCAAAACACUAAAGCUUAAAACCUAAUCCCUAAACCCGAAAUCCUUGGAUAAACCCUAAACUCUUGGAUAAAUCCUAAACUCUAAAUCAAAAUCGCUAAACACUAAAACACUCAAGGGUUUAGAGUUUACGGUUUAGAGUUUAGGGUUUAGUGUUUUUUUUAUUUAAAGUUUAGGAUUUAUUCAAGGGUUUAGGGUUUACCCAAAGGUUUAGGGAUUAGGAUUUAGGGUUUAGUGUUUUGCUGGCGACGUUAAAAAUAUAUAUUUUUCAAAUUCUUUUUUCUGUAACUAUUAAUUUUUUUUUAAACAUAAUAUAACUUGAUAAUAUUUUGUUUCCCUUUUUAAAAGAUAUCUAAUUUAAAAUAAUUUAUUGGUUGGUGAACCCAAGAAUAACUCUUUGGCAAAUACAAUUUUCGGUAAUCAGCGAGUAGUGUCAUUGUGGAUUACUGAUACUGAUUGUAUAACUACAAAGAAAAAACAAUAGUUAGGGAGUGCAGAAUGCCAAGUUAAAAAGGUGAAUAAUAGUAAGUAACAUACUCCAUCCGUUCAAAAUAAUGUAUAUUCUAGAGUUUUCACAUUUAUUAAGAAACAUACGUAAAAUUUUGACAAUAAAUGCAUUGUUUUCCAUAUUUAGCUAUUUCAUAUGAUUUUUAAUCAAUUAAAGUUCAGUAAAUAUAAUUAACUAGCUUUUUUGCCCGCACAUGCGGGCAUAAUUCUUUUAUAGAUAUUUCUUAAUAAAUGUACUAUUAAAGUUAAAGAAAUAGUUCUUAAGUCAAACAUUAAAUUUGUAAUAUUUUUAUGAAUCUUUCAAUUUCUUAAUUUUUAUGCUUUAGGUAAGAAAACAAAAUUUUUGGUUUUAACAGAAAAUUGUAAUUUCACAGUUUUAGCGAUAAAACACGACUUUUAGCGAGUUCUUAUUACAUAAUAAUUAGAAAAAUGACUAGGAUAGCACUAAAUUUUUUUUUGUCAUAAAUAAAGCUUGUAAGAAUAAAAAUGACCAAAAUAGCACUUAAUGUUUUAUCAAAAGAGAUAAAUAUACCCUUAUACUCCAAUGGUAAAUUAAUUUAGACAUUAGGGUUUAGAGUUAAGGGGUGAGGUUUAGGAUUUAGGGUUUAGGGUUUAGAGUUUAGGGUUUAGGGUUUAGAGUUUAGGUUUUAGGGUUUAGUGUUGGGGAGUGGGGUUUUGGGAUAAGAUUUCAAAUUUUGAAAAAAAAAAAAAAAAUUCAAAACAUAAAAUGCUAUUUUUGUCAUAAACUUAGAAAAGUGCUAUUUUGGAGAUUUGCCCUAAUAAUUAUAAUAAUUAGUUAAAAUAUUUGUUUUAUUUUAUUAAGAAUAUUUAUGUUUUUAAAUUUUGAUAUGCAAAUGUAGCAUCCAUACUCUACAUUUUUUGCAUUUCAAAUAUCUAGAUAUUCAUAUAUCAUAGAUUUCGCAUAUAGAUGUUGUAUCCAGAUGUUGACGUAAUAGUGUCCAAACAAACAAUAUCUGAAUAUUAUCAUCCAAAUGUAACGUCUAGAAACAAAAACGAAUUGUGCCUAAUUCAAUUCAUAUCAAUAUACUAAACAUAUAAUUAUUGGAUAAUUGAAAUUAUUAUUAUUAUUCAAUAUAAAUUUAGUUCCAGCUUGUAUUCGUUGUUGUUCAACAAAUUCCACUUUUGUUAUUUGAAAUUCACUUGUAUCAAAAGUCAAAAAUAUAAAAAUCGAUUCACCAAAAUAAAAUGUUAAAUCUAUGCGGCCCAAUACGGAAUAAAAGAAUCGGCCCAUAGGCUGGCCCAUGAUUGUUCGCCUGGCCCACAACAAAACCUUGACAUCGAUAAAGUGAAGAAGGAGAACUUUCCGAGAAAUCAAAACUUAGAAUCGAGUCACGAAAAUGGAGGAGGAGAAGAAGAAGAGUGAUGAUGUCAACUCUAAAUGGGACGCGUGUCUCGAUCUCACCGCUCGUCGCGUAGUCUACUCCUCCCUCGGCGGCGCGUUCGCCGGUCUUCUGUUCUUCAGUUCGGUUUUUGUUUUCCCCACUUUCCGAUUCAGUUCAGAUCUAUCUAUGAUUCAUCAUCAUCAUCAUGAUAAAAUCAAUUCUCUUGUGUUGGCAUAGGGAGUCCCGUGACAAGAUGGGCGUCGAUUGCGUUUGGUGCUGGACUCGGUAUUGGAUCUGCGUACACCGAUUGUUCUCGUGCCUUUGAUGCAUCAUCGUCGUCUUCAACUUCCGCCGCUUUGGUAGCUCCCAUCAGUACAGAGACUUCGUCUUAUUCUGUAUCUCAGGUGAAUCGAAAGUUUCUAUUCGCCUUUUGCCUUGAUUUGUUGGAAUCUCAGUAACAUAUAGUUUAUUGGAUCAUGUAUUUCUUUGCAUUUAGGAUAAACAUUGGAAGUUAAAAAUGGUGAUGAUGUUAUCAUAGUAGUUUAAAAGAAUUAAUGAUUCAGGUAGCUGAUAAGAAUCCAUAAUCGAAACAAAUAGUCUUAAGAGUUUCAAGAGAUCCUUACUUCACCUUUGUCAUAGUUUCCAGGUUUUGGUUAGGUGUGAAAAGUUUGAAUCUUCUUUUUAUCAAGUAGUUGAGUGUGUUUUAUUUUGUGUUAUCUUGUUGAUUGAUUCCAGGCAGAGGAAGAGUAAGAGAACGAGGAAUCUUGAGGAUGAACCCAAACAUUGAUGAUGGGUAUUUACUACAAGAGUUGUUGUUAUAUACUGGUUUUUGAGAUAAUAUGCAAUUGUUAACCUUUUGCUUUUCAGUGGUUUUGUACACAUUGGCUGAUGCCAAAAGAUGUUUAACGACCAACUCAUUCCGACUUAUUUUUGGGAAAGAAAAAAAAAAUCAUACGUUUUUUUAGAAAUUCCAAUCAAUAAUACUUCCUGAUUGGUUUGCUCGACUCUACCAGGCUCCUUGUCCACAUAAUAAGAGUUAUUGAUAUGUUAAUAGCUUAAUAGCCAUCUUUAG
RNAcentral lists this long non-coding RNA (4415 nucleotides) under Brassica napus (rape). RNAcentral describes it as "long non-coding RNA (BNAP_LNC024514)". Lineage: Eukaryota; Viridiplantae; Streptophyta; Magnoliopsida; Brassicales; Brassicaceae. The record is from RNAcentral.